RNAcentral lists this long non-coding RNA (451 nucleotides) under Equus caballus (horse). Its description in RNAcentral is "lncRNA (ENSECAG00000057495.1)". Lineage: Eukaryota; Metazoa; Chordata; Mammalia; Perissodactyla; Equidae. The record is from RNAcentral.
GAGAGAAAGUGAAACAUACUGAGCAAGAGGCAGAAAAGCAGAAGGGAGAAGACGUAAAAACACUGUAAAAGUUCCAGGAAAAACAAAAAUACAUGGGCCUCUUGACGUGAUUAUCCUCAGGAAGAGCACACUGUGAAAACGCUCUUGCUUUACGGAGAACUCAACGUGCGAAGAGUCAACAUUUUAUAUUCUCUCUGUCCUUGUUGCAAGUAUAUUUUCCACAGUCACGUGCAUCCUCCUUAGCAACAGGCUCACUUCAUGACGUGAAACCCACCUUUCUCUCGGUAAUAAUUUAAUUCGGGAAUUCAGCAUGCACUGCACUACAGCCACAUGUGAACGUGAGCACAAGGGAACCGUGCCAACUUCGAGGUGACCAUCUUGAACUCUGCCCAACAGAGGAGCUCCUUGCUGAGUUGCACCAAUAUAACCCAUCCAAUGUCUCUACUUCGGC